This 318-nucleotide ribosomal RNA is filed under the name Mucor sp. Its description in RNAcentral is "LSU rRNA". The record is from RNAcentral. Lineage: Eukaryota; Fungi; Mucoromycota; Mucoromycetes; Mucorales; Mucoraceae.
AACCGUUUGGAGCCAGACUGGCUUGAUCGUAAUCAAUCUAGGCUUCGGCCUGGAUGCACUUGCGGUCUAUGCCUGCCAACGACAGUUCUUUCUGAAGGACAAAACUAGGAGGAAUGUGGCCCCUCGGGGUGUUAUAGCCUUUUAGAUAAUACUUUGGAUGGGACUGAGGAACGCAGUGAAUGCUUAUGGCGAGAUUGCUAGGCGCUUUCGUUAAUAGAUGUUAGAAUUUCUGCCUUGGGUGGUGCUGAUGUCUAAAGAUGAAACCCGCUUGGUUAAUUUUCUAUUCACUUAGGUCGUUGGCUUAAUGACUCUAAAUGA